AAGUCGUAACAAGGUUUCCGUAGGUGAACCUGCGGAAGGAUCAUUAUUGAAUAAACUUGAUGUGGUUGUAGCUGGCUCUCUCGGGAGUAUGUGCUCGCCCGUCACCUUUAUCUUUCCACCUGUGCACUUCUUGUAGAUUUGGAUGUAACUGUCCGAGGCAACUCGGUUGGGAGGAAUGUCAUUCUUGGCUUUCCUUGUAUGUCCAGAUCUAUGUCUUCAUAUACUCCAUAAAAAGUAACAGAAUGUAUCACUAGGCCUUGUGCCUAUAAACUAUAUACAACUUUCAGCAACGGAUCUCUUGGCUCUC
RNAcentral lists this unclassified non-coding RNA (307 nucleotides) under Gymnopilus liquiritiae. RNAcentral describes it as "partial internal transcribed spacer region". The stretch from base 1 to 46 matches the Rfam family "Eukaryotic small subunit ribosomal RNA", at positions 1786 to 1831 of the family's 1831-position model. Lineage: Eukaryota; Fungi; Basidiomycota; Agaricomycetes; Agaricales; Galerinaceae. The record is from RNAcentral.